AUUGAACGCUGGCGGAAUGCUUUACACAUGCAAGUCGAACGGCAGCACGGACUUCGGUCUGGUGGCGAGUGGCGAACGGGUGAGUAAUACAUCGGAACGUGCCCAGUCGUGGGGGAUAACGUAGCGAAAGCUACGCUAAUACCGCAUACGAUCUAAGGAUGAGAGCGGGGGACCGCAAGACCUAGCGUGAUUGGAGCGGCCGAUGGCAGAUUAGGUAGUUGGUAGGGUAAAGGCCUACCAAGCCGACGAUCUGUAGCUGGUCGGAGAGGAUGAUCAGCCACACUGGGACUGGGACACGGCCCAGACUCCUACGGGAGGCAGCAGUGGGGAAUUUUGGACAAUGGGCGCAAGCCUGAUCCAGCCAUUCCGCGUGCAGGAUGAAGGCCUUCGGGUUGUAAACUGCUUUUGUACAGAACGAAAAGGCUCUGGUUAAUACCCGGGGCUCAUGACGGUACUGUAAGAAUAAGCACCGGCUAACUACGUGCCAGCCGCCGCAGUAA
This 500-nucleotide ribosomal RNA is filed under the name uncultured bacterium. Its description in RNAcentral is "partial 16S ribosomal RNA". It matches the Rfam family "Bacterial small subunit ribosomal RNA", at positions 30 to 523 of the family's 1533-position model. The record is from RNAcentral.